This 449-nucleotide ribosomal RNA is filed under the name uncultured bacterium. Its description in RNAcentral is "partial 16S ribosomal RNA". It matches the Rfam family "Bacterial small subunit ribosomal RNA", at positions 29 to 523 of the family's 1533-position model. The record is from RNAcentral.
AACGAACGCUGGCGGCAUGCCUAACACAUGCAAGUCGAACGAGAUCUUCGGGUCUAGUGGCGCACGGGUGCGUAACGCGUGGGAAUCUGCCCUUUGGUUCGGAAUAACAGUUGGAAACGACUGCUAAUACCGGAUGAUGACGAAAGUCCAAAGAUUUAUCGCCAGAGGAUGAGCCCGCGUAGGAUUAGCUAGUUGGUGUGGUAAAGGCGCACCAAGGCGACGAUCCUUAGCUGGUCUGAGAGGCUGAUCAGCCACACUGGGACUGAGACACGGCCGAGACUCCUACGGGAGGCAGCAGUGGGGAAUAGUGGACAAUGGGCGAAAGCCUGAUCCAGCAAUGCCGCGUGAGUGAUGAAGGCCUUAGGGUUGUAAAGCUCUUUUACCCGGGAUGAUAAUGACAGUACCGGGAGAAUAAGCGCCGGCUAACUCCGUGCCAGCCGCCGCAGUAA